UUCAGCACCUGUUCUCCUUGCAUGAAUGGGUACAGAUCUUGAAACAGUCUCUCCCCGUCACCAUCAGACAUCUGCCUCCCUAACUUCCUUGGCUGGUGCCAGCUCUCAAGGCUUAUAGUCUGCCACUUGGCAGGUGCUGCCAUUCUCAGCUCUUCUUCCCAAACUGCCUUCUUCAUCACAUUCUCUGUCCUUCCUCCAACUUCCCAUGGACCCUCCCUCAUGUGGACAGGCAGACUGUGGGCUUGGGCCAUUCCUCUGCCCUCCAGGUCUUCUCGGUCCCUUGGCCCCAGGAAGCCACCAACCUCCUGUCCUCUUCUUCUCCAGUAGGCGUGGUCGUGAGCAGUCUGGGGCUGAGAGGACCACCUUAGCACGGGCUGGUCGUAAAACCUACAAAACAGACAGGCACAGAAGUUAUAGCAGGGGAAGACCCAUGCAGGAGAAGCAUUUCUUCGUCUGCUCUAUGACUGGUGCUCCCAGUCAAACACAGAUUGAAUGUACAAGACUUCAGUGGAAGAAGUUAUUGCAAAUGGGGUGGAAACAGCAAGAGAACAAGAAUUAGAAGUGAAGUCUGAAGAUGAGAUUCAAUUGCUGCCAUCCUGUGAUAAAACUUGAAUGGAUGAGGAGCUGCUUUUUAUGGAUGAACAAUGAAAGUGGUUUCUUGAGGUGGAAUCUGCUCCUGGUGAAGAUGCCGUGAAGAUUGUUGAAAUGACAAUAAAGAAUUUAGAAUAUCA
Molecule: long non-coding RNA, 731 nt
Organism: Canis lupus familiaris (dog)
Lineage: Eukaryota; Metazoa; Chordata; Mammalia; Carnivora; Canidae
Exons: 2
Source: RefSeq, a predicted model, not a curated record